This 876-nucleotide ribosomal RNA is filed under the name bacterium Ellin6509. Its description in RNAcentral is "bacterial SSU rRNA". It matches the Rfam family "Bacterial small subunit ribosomal RNA", at positions 162 to 1035 of the family's 1533-position model. The record is from RNAcentral.
UCUAAUACCCGAAUAUUACCCCCGAGGGCGCAUGCCCUUGGGUGGAAAAGCUUUUGCGGUGUGGGAUGGGCCCCGCGGCCUAUCAGCUUGUUGGUGGGGUGAUGGCCUACCAAGGCGACGACGGGUAGCCGGCCUGAGAGGGUGUCCGGCCACACUGGGACUGAGAUACGGCCCAGACUCCUACGGGAGGCAGCAGUGGGGAAUAUUGCACAAUGGGCGCAAGCCUGAUGCAGCGACGCCGCGUGGGGGAUGACGGCCUUCGGGUUGUAAACCUCUUUCACCAUCGACGAAGGUCCGGGUUUUCUCGGAUUGACGGUAGGUGGAGAAGAAGCACCGGCCAACUACGUGCCAGCAGCCGCGGUAAUACGUAGGGUGCGAGCGUUGUCCGGAAUUACUGGGCGUAAAGAGCUCGUAGGUGGUUUGUCGCGUUGUUCGUGAAAUCUCACGGCUUAACUGUGAGCGUGCGGGCGAUACGGGCAGACUAGAGUACUGCAGGGGAGACUGGAAUUCCUGGUGUAGCGGUGGAAUGCGCAGAUAUCAGGAGGAACACCGGUGGCGAAGGCGGGUCUCUGGGCAGUAACUGACGCUGAGGAGCGAAAGCGUGGGGAGCGAACAGGAUUAGAUACCCUGGUAGUCCACGCCGUAAACGGUGGGUACUAGGUGUGGGUUUCCUUCCUUGGGAUCCGUGCCGUAGCUAACGCAUUAAGUACCCCGCCUGGGGAGUACGGCCGCAAGGCUAAAACUCAAAGGAAUUGACGGGGGCCCGCACAAGCGGCGGAGCAUGUGGAUUAAUUCGAUGCAACGCGAAGAACCUUACCUGGGUUUGACAUGCACAGGACGCGUCUAGAGAUAGGCGUUCCCUUGUGGCCUGUGUGC